CUUUGGUUCCCGGAAUGUAGCUGAGGAGUGAGGUCAGAAAGUACCUUUAAGUGAGUGGACCAGGAGGAUUCUCUUCAUUACUCUGACACACUCAAAACGCUUUCAUAACUUUUACAGGUCCUGAGCUGGUGUGCAAAUGUUCCAUAUGUGAGCUGUCAGUCAGGGGCGCUGAUUGUUCAUUUGCUUUAAAACAACAAAAACAAAAACAACAACAAAACAGUUCUGGGAAUGAAACCCAGUGCAUUGAGCAUGUAGGCAAGUGCUUUACCCAUAAGCCCCAGCUCCAGCUCCAGCAGCGAAUGAAGCAGCUGCAUUUUCAGCUAGAAAACAUAGGGAUUUGACCUACAUUUCAACAAGACCUCUGAACCAGAUGUGAUGAUGCUUGCUUAGUAUGUUUAGCAUCUCAGUGCUCUGGAGGCAGAGACAGGAGGAGGGCCAUAAGUUGAAGGCCAGCCUGACCUUCACAGUGGUCUCCAAGUCACCUAAAACUAUAUAGUAAGACCUUGCCUCAAAUGAAAAACAAAAUGGCGAGUGGUGGUGCAUGCCUUUAAUACCAGCACUUGGGAGUAGAAGCAGGUGCAUCUCCGUGAGGUCAAAGCCAGCCAGUUCCCGGACAGCCAAGGCUAUACAGAG
Molecule: long non-coding RNA, 633 nt
Filed under: Androctonus crassicauda
Lineage: Eukaryota; Metazoa; Arthropoda; Arachnida; Scorpiones; Buthidae
Source: RNAcentral